AUGGUGCAAGGUAUUUGUGGGAUUGGACUAUUUCAGUUUCGAUUAAUGAUCCUCCACCUAGCACUGAGGACUGAGGCGGCUUGGGAAUCAGGGACCUCGGGUGGAAUACCGUGCUAUGACUGGUUCGCUCAGCAACACUGUCAGCAUACCAUGCCCAUGGAUAAACAUCAUAGAGACACUGCUACCUGGAGUUGCCUGGCAUCAGCCAUCAAGACAGUCAUAGAAUCAACGAGAUGUACCUUGGGAAAUGGAUCCAGAAUCUCCUUCUGGCACGACUGGUGGUUGGACUGUGGAAGGCUGAAAUUCUCUUUCCCAAUUCUCUUCACCUUUGCACAAUCGCCUUAUUGCACUGUUGCCUCGCAGUUCACUGAUGGACAAUGGAACCUCAAGCUACAUCCGAAUUUAACUAUGACAGCCACAAGAGAAAUGGAGGCCUUACUGACGAUUCUAGUUGGAGUGCAUCCAUCUCUUUCUCACACUGAAACAGAUCAGAGAAACCCUUGUAUGAAAUCUGGAAAGGUCACCACUGCAUUCUUCUAUGAGCUGCUCACGUUCAGGGGGGUCCUUUGCCCAACUGCUCCAAAGAUAUGGGACACUUUGAUACCCAACAGACAUCGGGUCUUCCUUUGGCUGGCUCUACGAGGUAGACUGAACACAAGAGAUAAUAUUCUCAAAAAAGGCUGGACGUCAAUCACAACACACAAUGACUGCGACCUGUGCCCUGCAACCGAAAACAGUAGCCAUAUCAUCCUCAGAUGCAGGCUUGCUGAUGCUGUUUGGGAGCGGGCAGGCGUGCAAGACAAGGCAAGAAGCUCCAAUGAUCUCCAGGUUUUUCUACUCGCCACGGAACCCCCUGCAUAUGGCAACCUCUGGCAUAUUGUUUUUGCAGCCUGCGUCGUGUCUCUCUGGUCUGCCAGGAACGAGCAGGUCUUCCAGCACACACGAUGGUCCGCUGGCAAGGUGUUGAGCACGAUUGCAGACCUGCUGCGCCUGUGGAGUAAUCGUGCGAAUAACAAUGAGGAUAGGAUUAAGUUGUGUAAUUUUGCUGCUCUUUUCCAUACCCCUUUUUUUUACCUCUUUUUAGGCUUGGUGACGGCUAGCUGCACUGUCGCAGCGCUUAUGCCACCUUCAUGUAAUCUGGUUCUAACUAGCCGGGCCUCGCCCGUUUUGAAUGCAUAA
This 1179-nucleotide ribosomal RNA is filed under the name Triticum aestivum (bread wheat). RNAcentral's name for it is "partial small subunit ribosomal RNA". The record is from RNAcentral. Lineage: Eukaryota; Viridiplantae; Streptophyta; Magnoliopsida; Poales; Poaceae.